RNAcentral lists this ribosomal RNA (248 nucleotides) under uncultured bacterium. RNAcentral's name for it is "partial 16S ribosomal RNA". It matches the Rfam family "Bacterial small subunit ribosomal RNA", at positions 523 to 769 of the family's 1533-position model. The record is from RNAcentral.
AUACGGAGGAUGCGAGCGUUAUCCGGAUUUAUUGGGUUUAAAGGGUGCGUAGGCGGAUUGAUAAGUCAGCGGUAGAAAACCUUCAGCUUAACUGGAGAAUUGCCGUUGAUACUGUUAGUCUUGAGGAUGGUCAAGGUAGGCGGAAUGUGUAAUGUAGCGGUGAAAUGCUUAGAUAUUACACAGAACACCGAUUGCGAAGGCGGCUUACUGGGCCAUAACUGACGCUGAGGCACGAAAGCGUGGGGAGC